GAGGCCAGGGACUCCCGGCGGAGGAGCCCCAAGGAGGCCAGCCUGACGACUAACGAGUUGCCAUGGCAUCCUACUACGAGAUCCUAGACGUGCCGCGAAGUGCGACGGCUGAUGACAUCAAAAAGGCGUAUCGGAAGAAGGCUUUACAGUGGCACCCAGACAAGAACCCAGAUAAUAAAGAGUUUGCUGAGAAGAAGUUCAAGGAGGUGGCUGAGGCAUACGAAGUGCUGUCGGACAGUAAGGGCCAGGAUGAGAAGGACCUGCUGAGUGAAGGACUGAGCUGCUGCUAAAACCUAUAGCCUGUGUCCACUGUGCACCCUGCUGCCCCCCUAGUGUCGGUCUCUGGACAGAUCUCGGAGGGGCCUAGCCUGGAAGGGGAGGCGGUCAACGCAGACGGAGGGAGAAAUGAUCUUGGUCUCUCUUUCCAGAGCAUAAGCGGGAGAUCUACGACCGCUAUGGCCGGGAAGGGCUGACCGGGGCAGGAACUGGCCCAUCUCGGGCAGAAGCUGGCGGUGGCGGGCCUGGCUUCACCUUCACCUUCCGCAGCCCGGAGGAGGUCUUCCGGGAGUUCUUCGGGAGUGGGGACCCUUUUGCGGAGCUCUUUGACGACCUCGGCCCCUUCUCAGAGCUUCAGAACCGGGGUCCCCGGCACUCUGGCCCUUUCUUCACCUUCUCUUCCUCCUUCCCCGGGCACUCUGAUUUCUCCUCCUCGUCUUUCUCCUUCAGUCCUGGGGCUGGUGCUUUUCGUUCCGUUUCUACAUCUACCACCUUUGUUCAAGGACGCCGCAUCACAACGCGCAGAAUCAUGGAGAACGGGCAGGAGCGGGUGGAAGUGGAGGAAGAUGGGCAGCUGAAAUCCAUCACAAUCAACGGUAUCCCGGAUGACCUGGCACUGGGCUUGGAGCUGAGCCGUCGCGAGCAGCAACAGUCCGUCACCUCCAGGUCUGGGGCGACACAGGUCGGGCAGACCCCUGCCUCACACUCCCCCGACGGCGACCUCUCUGAGGAUGACGAGGACCUGCAGCUUGCCAUGGCCUACAGCCUGUCAGAGAUGGAGGCGGCUGGGAAGAAACCGGCAGGUGGGCGGGGGGCACCGCGACGACGGCAGGGGCAGCCCAAGGCCCAGAACCAAGAUCCAGGCACAGGGGAGACCUGUGAGGGUGCCAGGGGCGACACUGCCAAACCCAGCCCAUCUCCGGAGGAGAAGGCCUCUCGCUGCCUCAUCCUCUGAUCACCAGGCCCAACCCACCCGAUUCAGGGGGACCAGGGGUCCUGCUCACUGUCAGGCGAGCAGAGAGGGGCGUGGCCUGAGUUGCAGGGUCCCUCUCCACCUCCAUGAUUCCUCCCAGGUCCACCCCCCUGCAGUGUGGACUCGGGAUUUGCUGUGCUCAGGCCAUGGCUGAUCGGUCCCUGGGGAAGCCCAAGGUGGGGGGACUCAGGGCAGUGGGAAGGCCUGGGGAUCAGGAUGCACUUAUUAGACGGGGCGUUUCCAGGGGCACUAGUGGCUUGGGUCAGGCCUUUGCUGCCCCCCGUCUUCUGCCACCUGUGUUGCUGAUGAUGUUAAGGAGGACUUGGCCUGAGGUUCUCUGAGCCCGUCGGCAGCCACGGCGCUCCCUUCCGGCUGCAGACACCCCACCUUGGUUUCUGCACGGUGUUGAGCUCUGACGUCUCUGUUGCUUCCCUCCCUCCUGGUGCUGCUUCUCUCCUCCCUUGCACUCUUCUCUCUGCAUCCCCCGCGGGCCGCAUCGCUUGCUCUCACUGCCGUCUGGCUGGGACUCCCUUCUUCCUUCCCCCAGAAGGCCUCUUUGUGGCGAGGAAGAUGCUGUGGCCGGUAGGGCCAUAAGGUCUUCCGGGGAGGCUAGCUGGGUGGGGCGGGAGCCUCUCGGCCGUCCAGAUUCGGAACCGGAGCCCACUCCUCCUCCCUUCCUCUUGCUGCCUCAGCCUGCCCCGGGCCUCGGGACUAGCCAGAGGUGAGGCCGGCUAACCCUGGAGAGGGGGGAUGAAGCCAGGGUGCCCCAGGAGGGAGGCCUAGGAGGGGACCGGACCUCGUCCUCCCGCACCAUGCAUCAGGGCUCAGGGAGAGGCCACAGGGCUAGCCCAGGGCUGCAUGCUGAGCGCCCUCCUCCACAGCUUGCUGCUGACCCUCUCUCCUGUCACCCCGUCCCUGCUCUCUCCCCAGAUGUGUUCUGAGCUGGAUGUCCAGGACCCAGAGUUGCUGCACAGUUCCAAAAGGACAGCGCCCAACCCUGUGCACUGGGAGGGGACCCUCCAUUCCUCUCCCUCGCCUGUGCUGAGCAUAGAGCCGGGCCUGGGUGGUGGGUGGGGGCUGGGUGGGCGGUAGUCUUAGCCUGGAAACGCUUCUCUGGGUGUUUGGUGCUCUCUUGGGGACUACAAGUCCCAGAAUGCAAUGCACCCUGCCUCCUUGCUGUUAGAUCAUGCUUGGGGGAAGUGGCAUGUGGUUACAGGGCUGUGCAUCUUGGGACAUGUAGUUCUGGCCCUGGUCGGCCUGACACUUGCUGUAAGAUGGGGGAGAUCUUGUCAUUUGAUUUGUCCCUGGCAGGGGUAGCAAGAAUGUGGAUGAAGGGGUAAUGGUUCGAGCUCUGUUUCCCCUGACAGCUCUUGCUAGCGCUCGGGUUAGAGCGUAAAAAUCAAGGCCCUGUGGCAUCCAGGGGAGGCUCCUUCCCUGUGCACAGUCCUGGAGUUUGAGGAUGAGCCGGAGCAGAUCAACGCAGCAGGGCUAUGGGCACGGGCUGGCAGAGAGCUUGGAAGGAAGCCCUCUCGGGGGUGUGUGUGUGUGUGUGUGUGUGUGUGUGUGUGUGGCUGGAGUUGGUGUGUGACGGAUGCUCCAGGCAUGUUGCUGCUUGUAUGGCUUCUUUGACCUCUGACCCCGCUGCCCAUUCUUUCUCUCCAACACCGCAGAAGCUGCCUCUCCUCCUCCCUCCCUGGGGAGCCGGGUGGCCAGGGAGGGGAGUGGUGGAGCCAGGGUGUUGCCAGCCCCUGUGCCCUUGAGUCUCAGAGAUGUAUCAAAGCCAGCUGGGCUGAGCUCAGACCAAGAGGAAAACACUGGAAGUCAAUAAAGCUGAAUUUCGAGAGCUUGG
This is a non-coding RNA of Sus scrofa (pig), 3098 nucleotides long. The record is from RefSeq and is a predicted model, not a curated record. Lineage: Eukaryota; Metazoa; Chordata; Mammalia; Artiodactyla; Suidae.